Molecule: ribosomal RNA, 477 nt
Filed under: uncultured bacterium
Lineage: Bacteria
Description: bacterial SSU rRNA
Rfam family: Bacterial small subunit ribosomal RNA
Source: RNAcentral
AGGACGAACGCUGGCGGCGUGCCUAACACAUGCAAGUCGACGAACGAAGUCCUCGGGGACCGAGUAGUGGCGGACGGGUGAGUAACGCGUGAGCAACCUGCCUUUCAGAGGGGGAUAACGUUUGGAAACGAACGCUAAUACCGCAUAACAUAUACCUGCGGCAUCGCAGGGAUAUCAAAGGAGCAAUCCGCUGAAAGAUGGGCUCGCGUCUGAUUAGAUAGUUGGUGGGGUAACGGCCUACCAAGUCGACGAUCAGUAGCCGGACUGAGAGGUUGAACGGCCACAUUGGGACUGAGACACGGCCCAGACUCCUACGGGAGGCAGCAGUGGGGGAUAUUGCACAAUGGGCGCAAGCCUGAAUGCAGCAACGCCGCGUGAGGGAAGACGGUUUUCGGAUUGUAAACCUCUGUUCUUGGUGAAGAAGAAAGUGACGGUAGCCAAGGAGAAAGCCACGGCUAACUACGUGCCAGCCGCAGC